Molecule: RNA transcript, 10263 nt
Organism: Homo sapiens (human)
Lineage: Eukaryota; Metazoa; Chordata; Mammalia; Primates; Hominidae
Gene: LRCH3
Gene name: leucine rich repeats and calponin homology domain containing 3
Exons: 21
Source: RefSeq, marked validated
GGGCCCGAGUGUUGUCGGCUGGGAAAUGGCGGCCGCGGGCUUGGUCGCUGUGGCAGCGGCUGCCGAGUACUCUGGCACGGUAGCGUCGGGAGGUAACCUCCCUGGUGUUCACUGCGGCCCAAGCUCCGGGGCAGGCCCUGGUUUUGGCCCGGGCUCGUGGAGCCGCUCUCUCGAUCGAGCCCUGGAGGAGGCGGCGGUCACUGGGGUGCUGAGCCUGAGCGGCCGGAAACUGAGGGAGUUUCCCCGGGGAGCGGCCAACCACGACCUGACGGACACCACCCGGGCGGACCUGUCGCGAAAUCGCCUUUCAGAAAUUCCUAUAGAAGCAUGUCACUUUGUUUCUCUGGAAAAUCUCAACUUGUACCAAAAUUGUAUUCGUUAUAUUCCAGAGGCAAUUUUAAACCUACAAGCUCUAACAUUCUUAAAUAUUAGUCGGAACCAACUGUCAACAUUGCCGGUACACUUGUGUAAUUUGCCAUUGAAAGUCUUAAUUGCUAGUAAUAACAAAUUGGUGUCACUUCCAGAAGAAAUUGGACACCUUAGACAUUUGAUGGAACUUGAUGUGAGCUGCAAUGAAAUUCAAACUAUACCUUCCCAAAUUGGUAACCUGGAGGCCUUGAGAGACCUUAAUGUAAGAAGAAAUCACCUAGUACAUUUGCCUGAAGAGCUGGCGGAGUUGCCUUUGAUACGGUUAGACUUCUCAUGCAAUAAAAUUACCACAAUCCCUGUUUGUUAUCGGAACCUCAGGCACCUACAGACGAUCACCCUAGAUAACAAUCCACUACAAUCACCUCCUGCACAGAUAUGUAUAAAAGGCAAAGUCCACAUAUUUAAAUACCUGAACAUACAAGCUUGUAAGAUUGCUCCAGAUCUGCCGGAUUAUGAUAGGAGACCGUUGGGUUUUGGCUCCUGCCAUGAAGAACUGUACUCAAGUCGCCCUUAUGGAGCCCUUGAUUCAGGCUUCAAUAGUGUGGACAGUGGUGAUAAGAGAUGGUCAGGGAAUGAACCUACAGAUGAAUUUUCAGAUCUGCCUCUUCGAGUAGCAGAGAUUACUAAAGAACAAAGACUACGAAGAGAAAGCCAGUACCAAGAGAACCGCGGCAGUUUGGUAGUAACAAACGGCGGAGUGGAACAUGAUCUGGAUCAGAUUGACUACAUAGACAGCUGCACCGCAGAGGAAGAGGAGGCCGAGGUGAGACAGCCCAAGGGACCAGACCCAGACAGCCUUAGUUCACAGUUUAUGGCGUAUAUUGAACAGCGGCGAAUCUCUCAUGAGGGUUCACCAGUAAAGCCAGUAGCCAUUAGGGAGUUUCAAAAAACAGAAGAUAUGAGAAGAUAUUUACAUCAAAACAGGGUUCCAGCUGAGCCAUCUUCCCUCCUGUCACUAUCAGCAAGUCACAAUCAGCUGUCACACACAGACCUGGAACUUCAUCAGAGAAGGGAGCAGUUAGUAGAGCGCACUCGGAGAGAGGCUCAGCUUGCUGCCCUGCAGUAUGAGGAGGAGAAAAUAAGGACCAAGCAGAUCCAGAGAGAUGCUGUCCUGGACUUUGUCAAACAAAAAGCAUCACAAAGUCCACAAAAACAGCACCCGCUCCUAGAUGGCGUAGAUGGUGAGUGCCCCUUCCCAUCCAGAAGGUCUCAGCACACUGAUGAUAGUGCCUUGUGCAUGUCGCUGUCAGGGUUGAAUCAAGUGGGCUGUGCUGCUACCCUGCCUCAUUCUUCUGCCUUCACGCCUCUUAAGAGUGAUGACAGACCUAAUGCUCUAUUAAGUUCACCUGCAACAGAAACAGGUCAUGCUUCACCCCUUCCUCCAUCUGCUGCACCUACCACUGAUUCUACAGAUUCCAUAACAGGACAGAAUUCAAGACAGAGAGAAGAAGAGCUGGAAUUAAUAGACCAACUGCGUAAACAUAUUGAGUACCGGUUGAAAGUGUCUCUACCUUGUGAUCUCGGAGCAGCUCUAACUGACGGUGUUGUUCUUUGCCAUUUGGCCAAUCAUGUGCGACCUCGAUCUGUCCCAAGCAUUCAUGUUCCCUCACCAGCUGUAUGUGUUUCAGGGACCUGUCCUAGGCCACCUUGCUCUUCCCUUAAGCCCAUAGCCAGUGACGGACAAGCAUGGGGCUGAGCCCUCCUACCUCAAGGAGGGAGUGUCGUGUGGUUCACACUUGUGAGCUCCCUGUGGGAUCAAGCUGAAGCUGAGAAGGAGACAAGCAGGAGGAUCACCUGUGGCUGGGAGUUUAAGACCAGCCUGGGCAAUAUACCUAAAUUAACAAUGGCGAAAUGCAGGCGAAAUGUGGAAAAUUUCCUAGAAGCUUGCAGAAAAAUUGGUGUACCUCAGGACAAUCUUUGUUCCCCUUCCGACAUCCUUCAGCUAAACCUCAGCGUUAAAAGAACUGUUGAAACGCUCCUUUCUCUUGGGGCACACUCAGAAGAAUCCAGUUUUGUCUGUCUCUCUCUGCAGCUUCUGGGUUUUGUGGCAUUUUACUGUACUGUGAUGUUAACUCUCUGUGUGCUUUAUUACUGGCUCUUCCCCGCUCGCUGAAAGAUUGCACUCCGGUGACUUUCUGCCUCAUUCCUGUGCUUGGUAAAGGAGGUUUGUUUCUCAUCCAGAAUUAUUUACAUAAGUGCUUUUUCUCCCUGCUGGCCCUCAAAGAGCUAACCCAUAAAGGAGGUAAAUCCUUUCUUUAUAUUUGCAGAUGAGCACCCCCUCACAUUAGUAAACAUUUACGAUUGCUAACAAAGAGUAAAAGACCAGCAUUUUUUCUCCUGGUCAUCCGUCCAUUCUCCUGGCCUGUGGCCUUGUUUCUCUUACCAUAAAUGCUGAAGCAUUUUUACUAAUACAAUUCUGAACUUGUACUUCGAAUAUGACAUGUAGAGCUUUAUUUCCAAGUCACACAAUACAACUCCCAUCUGGCCAUUUUUCCGUGCCUCAGCACAAGUGUUGAAUUGUGGAGUGACUGAACCUUUGCAGCAGCUGCUCACGAGGAGAACCGUCGUGCCUUUUCUGGUUUUGGCCGCACCCGGUUACUUAGAUUUCUGCUUUGAACUGUGUCCUGAGAUCCUGAAUCCCCGCUUUGUCGGUAGGCACAGGUCCAUAUAAGCAUUUGCGGUCUGGACGUUUCAAAGGUAUUGGCCAUAAUUUUAAUAAUUUUAGUUUGGUCAGAAUGUUCAGUUUGAAGAUCACCCACAUUCCCUAGACUGCUCUUCUGAGCCCAGUCUAUACGCUGUAUGUGCUGCACACGAGCAGAUGGGCUGGAGCUGGCCUCUCAGGGUGGGCACCUUCCAGAUUGUGUUUGUUAUGUGUGACUGAGGUUCACUCCCAGCAUUCUGUUUAAAUUUGGAAUUUAUGUGAUUUCUAACAUAUUCAAACCUUCUUAAUAGUGAAACAGUAGCAGGAGAAGUAUUAGGGCAGCAGUCCCUGUUCUGUGCUCAAGGCAGUGAAUAUUGUCUAGCUCUUUCAGAAUGCGUAGCACUUAGCUGCUAGACGUUAAUGCUGGAAACUAUAAUUGCGGUUAGAUUCUAGUUUCAUAAGUGGUGUUUCUGAAUAUUCAGGAACCUUCUGAACUCUGUUAACAAAAUUGGGAUAAAGGAUGAACUCAAGUGUGAAGAGAGAUUGUGAGGAGCAUAAUAUCCGGUUUAGAAUUCAGCCUGAGGGAGGAGCAUAACAUCUGGGUGUAGAAUUCAGCCUGAGGGGCUCACUGGUUUGGUUUUCUUCCAUAUGAAAUGGGACAGCUAUUUUCACAGGUCAAAAGACUGUUCACUAUUAAUGCUGAAACACUCAACACUGUGAUGAUGAAAACUUCAGUUUUCUGUGUCAGUAGGUGCCUUUCAGACUUUGGGGAAUUGGGUUGGUUAUAUUUUUAAGAUGUCUCAGAGUUGAAACACCUGUUAAAAAACACACACAGGCUCUCAUGUGGUUUAGGGGUUGUAAUUGUACAUUCUCUUGAGAACACACGGCACUCCCUCUAGUCCAGCUGGGAGGUGAGGGUGCCCCAGAAAGCACAGGCUUCUGAGUGUGAACACCGGCCGCGCAGGUCCUAGGGCGCUGCUGAGAGGAAGAGACCAGGGAAUCAGCCUUGGAGAAAGCACGUCUCUUCCGACAGCAAAACACUGGGCAGGUUCAUUUUAAGUAUCAUUUAUCUAGACUUGCAGUUGCACUCAAAGUAUUUCUACAAAGUUGCUAGUUUUUUUAGAUCAAAAGAUUACAGUUACCUCAUUUUAUCAAAAUAAGUAUUAAAUAAAAAGUAAGCACAAGUACCAAUAACUGCCUCAAAAAUACUUGUUAUAUAUUUUAUUGUAACUGGUUUUAUAAAAUUUCCUAGUAAUAUCGUCUCAAUGAAAAGCAAAACAAAAAACAAAAAACAAAAAAACCCAACUAGUUGUUUUAACAAACAUAUAUAAUCUUUUUUUAGUGGCACCAGAAUUCUAUAUUCUGUUCUUUGUAAGAGCAAUCUCUUUUCUUUUUGGAAUAUUUAAUCUUAACAGAAAGCUAGUGAUAAAUGCUGUUCUUAAGAUUUGCCUUUUUCUCUCACAAGAAAGGGUUAACCUAACAAAUUAACGAUGCACACAUUAAGGAAGCGUUUAACUUCCUCAAGCAAACAGUGUCAACACUUCUCACAUGUUGGUAAUCAACAUGUUCCUGCCUAAGCUUACAUAGUAGUUCCCUGGAAUAAUUCAGGCUGUUAAAUACCAGGAUAUUAAAUCCUUUACAUUUUCAAAUACUGCUUUUAAUUCUGUAAUUCAGAUUUUUAAUUCAGACAGGCCCUUCCAUGAAUUAUUCAAAUUAGGGGGAAGUUUCUCAAGAGCUCAGGAUACACUGAGUUUCUUGCCCUAUCUGGUCUGGAAACCCUGGUUUUCACAGUCAGGAUUAUAAUGCAGAUAGCGUAGAACUCAUGCAGGCUGAGUUAUGUUUUCAAACUAUCUUUCAUUCUUGUGGUAGGGAACUUACCCUCAAGUGUAGUAUCUUUUACUCUUGAGCCAUCUGGUAGCGUGGAAUUGUUUUUCUAUUUUUCACCUGCCUAUUUUAUAGACCUGUAUUGACCUUUUAUUCAUCAGGGAUAAAGGAUGUUGCUUUCACCCUGCGGUAUUGUUUUCCCUCUGUUGUAUGUAUAGAUAUAUGCUACUUGUCAAUUUUCCAAUUUUGAAAAUGAUCUGUAUGUACUUUUAGUUGUAUUAAUAAAGUGACAGUGAGUGUCAGACACCAUCUCUCUAACUCAUAUUUACACUGAGGUCAGUUUCCCAGGUACUAAUUUUCAUAUCUAAGUUGAUGAUUGUGAAGGGGAGAAGUGCUUAUUUUUUCCUUUCAGUUCUAUGAUAUUCAUCCGAUUUUCUUUUUUGUUUGUUUUCAUGUUACGUUGUCCCUUUCAGGAGCAAUUAUGUUUGCCUCUCCACAUUUUAGAAGAGAAAGGUUUGAGCCAGGUUGCAGUGACGGUCCAGGCUCUCCUGGAACUUGCCCCACCCAAGCAACAGCAGCACCAGUUAUCUGCUGUUUGAGGAUCCCCAGGACGGUGGGCACUGGCCUGGCCAAAACAAGGAACAGGACACCGUGAUUGCUGCUGCCAGCUGUCUGCUUAAACAAAGCUCUUGUGUGUUCUCAGAAGGGACCGUUCCCAUGAUUCCUAACAGGAAUAUUUUGCUUCAUUUCUCCAUUUUAGGGGAGGUUAUUUCCAUUUCCAUUGAAUUUUUUUACGAAGACACCAUUGGUUUUCUCAGAUGAAACUUCUCUUACUGAAAACCCAGCACCUAACUUGGCUGUGUUUUCCUGGAGAGCAGGCGUGUUUCACGUGCCAGAAAGCACAUCUUCUGUGUUAGGCACAAGCAUGCUGUGCCAUUGUUUUUACCUGGUCUCAAGACAACUGGUCUGCUGGUUUCUAAACUUGGUUGUUCAUUAGACUCUCCUGGAGUAUUUGUUAAAAUACAGAUUCACAUUCAGUAGAGCUGGGGUAAGGCCUAGGAAUCUGCAUUUUCAACAACCAUUGCACAUGUUUUUGUUUUUGUUGGAGAAGGAGUUCUGCUCAGUCGCCCAGGCUAGAGUGCAGUGGCAUAAUCUCAGCUCACUGCAACCUCCGCCUCCCGGGCUCAAGCGAUUCUCCUGCCUCAGCCUCCCGAGUAGCUGGGACAACAGGUGCCCGCCACCAUGCCUGGCUAAUUUUCUUGUAUUUUUAGUAGAGAUGGGAUUUUGUCAUGUUGGCCAGGCUGGUCUCAAACUCCUGACUUCAAGUGAUCCACCUGCCUCGGCCUCCCAAAAUGCUGGGAUUACAGGCGUGAGCCACUGUGCCCGGCCUCCCAGAGUGCUGGGAUGACAGGCGUGAGCCCCCGCGCCCGGCCUCCGAGAGUGCUGGGAUUACAGGCGUGAGCCACUGUGCCCGGCCUCUGAGGGUGCUGGGAUUACAGGCGUGAGCCACUGCGCCCGGCGCCCGGCCCAUUGCACGUGUUUUUCAUGUAGUGGAACCACUGUUCAAAGCUAGAUAUUUGUAUGUUUGCGGGGGAGGGUAAUGGCCCCCUGCAUUUUUCACCCACAUUUAAAAUCAAAAGCUAUAUUAUGAGGAGUUGGACUGUUCUGUCAAAGGCAAAACAAAAAUAAUAUAGAAGGCCUAGGUUUUGCAUAGUCUUCUUUUUUUUAAGAGUUGGGGUCUUGCCGUAUUGCCCAGGCUGGUCUGAAACUCCUGGGCUCAACUGAUCCUCCCGCCUCAGCCUCCCAAAGUGCUGGGAUUACUGGAGUGAGCCAUCGGGCCUGGCCCAGAUUUUGCAUAGUAAAACAGUGAAACAGAUAGAGUUGUAUUUAAGGUCAGUAUUCUAGGCCUCCCUUCAACUGCAGUCAUACCAUCAUAGAAGAUAGUUCUAUGUCAUCCUGUUAUCUGGACAUUAUAAUAAACAACAAGCCCUCUAUACACAGGUUCCAAACCCCGUUAUCUAGACAUUAUCAACAACAAGCCCUCUCUCUAUACAGAGUUUCCAAAUUCUGAAGCUGAUAGCGCACUUGGUCUCACUGAGCCUCCCUCCCCGCCCUCCUGCUGCUCCUCAGACAUCUGGGCCUGCAGACACAUUGCAGUUACAGCACAUACACUUCUAGCUCGGAAAAGCCUAGUUUCUUGUAUUUCUUUCAGGUAACUGCCAGUUUCUGUGGCUGAAUUUAAGCACUUACAGCAUCUUCCUAGCUGGGUGUGGUGGCUCACACCUGUAAUCUCAGCACUUUGGGAGGCUGAGGCGGGCAGAUCACCUGAAGUUGGGAGUUUGAGACCAGCCUGACCAACAUGGAGAAACCCCGUCUCUACUAAAAAUACAAAAUUAGCUGGGCGUGGUGGUGCAUGCCUGUAAUCCCAGCUACUCGGGAGGCUGAGGCAGGAGAAUUGCUUGAACCCAGGAGGCGGAGGUUGUGGUGAGCCAAGAUCGUGCCAUUGCACCCCAGCCUGGGCAACAAAAGCGAAAUUCCAUCUCAAAAAAAGAAAACGCGCCCCAUCUCGCUCCACCACAAGCGCCUUUAUAUACUCAAUGAUGGGUGGAGGAAAAGGGCCCAAGGGCUCACACCGCACAGGAGCCUUUACUCAAGUUUCAGCUAGUUUUCCUUCCCCUGCAUUUUGAACUCCUUUUAGUUGUUGGUGAUAUCCUUUGGUGUUCACUGCCUUUGUAAAACAAGUAAAUAAAGUAAGCGGAAGAUAUCUCUUUUGUUUCUGUAGUUGUUAACUGUUCUGGAUUUUCUUUACAAUGCAUCCAUUUGGGCAUAAUGUUAUCCCUCUUUUUAUCAGGUAAAUGUAGCAUCUAAAAGUAGCUUUGGAUCAAAUCAUGUUGAAUACCUGGUCAAAGUAAUGUUUUCUUCCUUGUUCUUGCAGAGAAACAAAUUCAUCAGAACAUUACCACUUGACCAGGUUUAAAAUUGUAUAACAGGCUGGGCAUGGUGGCUCAUGCCUAUAAUCCCAGCACUUUGGGAGGCCGAGGCAAGAGGAUCACUUGAGCCCAGGAGUUUGAGAGCAGCCUGGGCAACAUAGCAAGACCCUGUCUCCCAAAAAUUAAAAAAAAAAAAAAAAAACCAGGUGUGGUGGCACCUGCCUGUACUCCCAGCUACUCAGGAGGCUGGGGUGGGAGGAUCACUUGAGCCUGGGAGGUUGAGGCUACAGUGAGCCAUGGCUGCACCACUGCACUCCAGCCUGGGCAACAGAGUGAGACCCCAUCUCUAAAAAUAAAUUGUACAACAUCUAACUUCAAUGCCCAAUCUUAUAGAACAAAAGUAAAAUGUCUUUAUGUAAGACCCCAUUAUAUUUACAGUUCCCAACAGACCCACCAACUCUUAUAUACCCUUAUAUAACUUGUUUAGAAUUUAGCCAUGUGCAUUUUUAAACUGUGUUUGUCAACAUUAAGCCUCAGUACAGUCUCCAAAUUAUAUGCCACCAGAAAUGAAAUUCAGCAAAGGACAGGAUUGUUUUUAACAUACGCAAGCCAGCCUGGCCAACAUGGUGAAACCUUGUCUCUACUAAAAAUACAAAAAUUAGCUGGGCGUGGUGGUGGGCACCUGUAAUCCCAGCUACUUGGGUGGCUGAGGCACAAGAAUCGCUUCAACCUGGAAGCCGAAGGUUGCAGUGGGCUGAGAUUGUGCCACUGCACUCCAGCCUGGGCAACAGAGCGAGACUCUGUCUCAAAAAAAAAAAAAAAAAAAAACCCACCAAACCAAAAAUAUACUAUGCAAGGAAUAAUUCUAGAAGACAUUACAUAAUGCAAUACUUGCAACAUUUGCAACUAAUUUUCCCAUAGGGAUAAAUGGAAAUUUCAACUUAUUUCAAAUUUUGCACAUAUUAUGAAACCUUAUUAAUGUAUUUUUAUCAAACUAAAUCAGAUUUGUAUUUGAAUUGUUAGGAAAAACCAUGUGCAGUUUUGGCUGAUAAUUGAAGGAAAAAUAUCAAAUGCUUUGAAUUUUUUUUCUCUUUUUUCAAACCCUCUGCAGAGGUAGGAAGGUAUGAAUUUCUUUUUUAUGUCAAGAUGCAAAAACAAAUCAUGAUGCUUUUGUUGGGAGAAUUUUUGUAUUCAGUAUUUUGUAUGUACCUUUUUUUUUUUAAAUUGGAAAGCACAAUUCGGUUUAACAUUUAGCUUUGCUUGACUCCAGUGUAAGAUGAAGAUGACCUUGUCACAGCUCCCCUGACCUGAAGCAGAGCCCUUCCCAUCACUGACAGUGUUGGGGGUUGAGAGCCCCCCAGCAGAGCCCUUCCCAUCACUGACAGUGUGUCGGCAGCUGAGAGCUCCCCCAGCAGAGCCCUUCCCAUCACUGAACAGUGUUGGCGGCUGAGAGCCCCCCAGCAGAGCCCUUCCCAUCACUGACAGUGUUGGGGGCUGAGAGCCCCCCAGCAGAGCCCUUCCCAUCACUGAACAGUGUUGGCGGCUGAGAGCCCCCCAGCAGAGCCCUUCCCAUCACUGACAGUGUUGGGGGCUGAGAGCCCCCCUAGCAGAGCCCUUCCCAUCACUGACAGUGUCUGGGGCUGAGAGCCCCCCCUAGCAGAGCCCUUCCCAUCACUGACAGUGUUGGGGGCUGAGAGCCCCCCAGCAGAGCCCUUCCCAUCACUGACAGUGUCUGGGGCUGAGAGCCCCCCAGCAGAGCCCUUCCCAUCACUGACAGUGUCUGGGGCUGAGAGCCCCCCCUAGCAGAGCCCUUCCCAUCACUGACAGUGUCGGGUUGAGAGCCACCCCCAGCAGAGCCCUUGCCACGUACAGAGAUUUUCUGUCAGCAGUUUCCCAGUAUUUCAGACUCAUAAUCUGUGUUUAGCACUCCAGUGUUCUCUUGUAAUAGCCAGGUCUGGAAACGACCCAUGGAAAGAGGGGCCUUUGUAUUCUGCUAGAACACAGAGCAUAGUAGUAGAUCACUUUUCUGAAGAGCUUUUUAAAAUACAGCUAAUCAAGGAGUUUGCGAUUUCUCUUACUUUCUACAGCUCAGCAGUGACUAAUGAUGUGUGACUAUGCGAAUGAGUUUGAUGAAUUCGUAAAAACUAAGCGCUUAAAUGGUUAUAGAAAUGAAAACAUGGAUAUUUAGAAGCCUUUCUAUAUACACAGUGCAGUUGAGAUGGUUUACAGCAAAUUUCGUUUUAUUUCUGAAAAUGUUGUAAACAUGUAAUUAGUGAAAGAUUUUGUAAAACAUUGUCCUGUAUUUUUGUCUGUAAAUAUAUUGCAUAAGUUCUAAGUAUAAAUAUGUCAGUAUCAUGUAUGUUAUUUUAAAUUGCCUGUACGCCACUUUACACAUUGACAUUCAAAUAAAAGCCAACACUUCAGUGGCGUGUAAUAAAA